Molecule: ribosomal RNA, 441 nt
Filed under: Dendropsophus seniculus (Corcovado treefrog)
Lineage: Eukaryota; Metazoa; Chordata; Amphibia; Anura; Hylidae
Description: partial small subunit ribosomal RNA
Rfam family: Bacterial small subunit ribosomal RNA
Source: RNAcentral
AAAACCCAAAGGACUUGACGGUACCCCAUAUCCACCUAGAGGAGCCUGUCCUAUAAUCGAUAACCCCCGCUUUACCUCACCAUUUUUAGCCUAUCAGCCUGUAUACCUCCGUCGUCAGCUUACCACGUGAGCGUAAAUCAGUGAGCUCAAUGCCCAUACAUCAAUACGUCAAUACGUCAGGUCAAGGUGCAGCAUAUAAAAUGGAAAGAGAUGGGCUACACUAUCUAAUCUAGAUCAUACGAAAGACUAUUUAUGAAACCUAGUCAGAAGGCGGAUUUAGAAGUAAAGAAAGACUAAAGUGCUUUCUUUAACAUGGCACUGGGGUGUGUACACACCGCCCGUCACCCUCUUCGAAGCCCCAAGACAGUUUUUAACUCACUCAAGCAUUAAAGAAGAGGCAAGUCGUAACAUGGUAAGUAUACCGGAAGGUGUGCUUGGAAA